AGUGAACGCUGGCGGUAGGCCUAACACAUGCAAGUCGAACGGCAGCACAGUAAGCGCUUGCUCUUACGGGUGGCGAGUGGCGGACGGGUGAGGAAUACAUCGUAAUCUACUUUUUCGUGGGGGAUAACGUCGGGAAACUUACGCUAAUACCGCAUACGCCCUACGGGUGGAAGCAGGGGAUCUUCGGACCUUGCGCGAUUGAAUGAGCCGAUGUCGGAUUCGCUCGUUGGCGGGGUAAAGGCCCACCAAGGCGACGAUCCGUAGCUGGUCUGAGAGGAGGAUCAGCCACACUGGAACUGAGACACGGUCCAGACGCCUACGGGAGGAAGCAGUGGGGAAUAUUGGGGAAUGGGGGCAAGCCUGAUCCAGCAAUACCGCGUGGGUGGAGAAGGCCUUCGGGUUGUAAAGCCCUUUUGUUGGGAAAGAAAAGCAGCAGGUUAAUACCCCGCUGUGCUGACGGUACCCAAAGAAUAAGCACCGGCUAACUUCGUG
This 492-nucleotide ribosomal RNA is filed under the name uncultured bacterium. RNAcentral's name for it is "partial 16S ribosomal RNA". It matches the Rfam family "Bacterial small subunit ribosomal RNA", at positions 29 to 507 of the family's 1533-position model. The record is from RNAcentral.